RNAcentral lists this ribosomal RNA (292 nucleotides) under uncultured bacterium. RNAcentral describes it as "partial 16S ribosomal RNA". The record is from RNAcentral.
GGACUACUCGGGUUUCUAAUCCUGUUUGCUCCCCACGCUUUCGCGCCUCAGCGUCAGUUAUGGACCAGGUCGCCGCCUUCGCCACCGGUGUUCUUCCCAAUAUCUACGAAUUUCACCUCUACACUGGGAAUUCCACGACCCUCUUCCACACUCAAGCGACAACGUAUCAAACGCAGCCCCCAGGUUGAGCCCAGGAAUUUCACGUCUGACUAUUGCCGCCGCCUACGCGCCCUUUACGCCCAGUCAUUCCGAGCAACGCUAGCCCCCUUCGUAUUACCGCGGCGGCUGGCAC